Molecule: ribosomal RNA, 293 nt
Filed under: uncultured bacterium
Lineage: Bacteria
Description: partial 16S ribosomal RNA
Rfam family: Archaeal small subunit ribosomal RNA
Source: RNAcentral
GUGCCAGCCGCCGCGGUAAUACCGGCAGCCCGAGUGAUGGCCGAUCUUAUUGGGCCUAAAGCGUCCGUAGCUGGCUGCGCAAGUCCGUCGGGAAAUCCAUCAGCCCAACUGAUGGGCGUCCGGCGGAAACUGCACGGCUUGGGACCGGAAGGCUCGAGAGGUACGUCCGGGGUAGGAGUGAAAUCCUGUAAUCCCGUCCGGACCACCGAUGGCGAAAGCACUUCGAGAAAACGGAUCCGACAGUGAGGGACGAAAGCUAGGAUCGCGAACCGGAUUAGAUACCCCUGUAGUCC